GGCGGCGUGCCUAAUACAUGCAAGUAGAACGCUGAAGGAGGAGCUUGCUUCUCUGGAUGAGUUGCGAACGGGUGAGUAACGCGUAGGUAACCUGCCUGGUAGCGGGGGAUAACUAUUGGAAACGAUAGCUAAUACCGCAUAAGAGCGGUUGUUGCAUGACAGCUGUUUAAAAGGUGCAAUUGCACCACUACCAGAUGGACCUGCGUUGUAUUAGCUAGUUGGUGAGGUAACGGCUCACCAAGGCGACGAUACAUAGCCGACCUGAGAGGGUGAUCGGCCACACUGGGACUGAGACACGGCCCAGACUCCUACGGGAGGCAGCAGUAGGGAAUCUUCGGCAAUGGGGGCAACCCUGACCGAGCAACGCCGCGUGAGUGAAGAAGGUUUUCGGAUCGUAAAGCUCUGUUGUAAAGAGAAAGAAACGAAGUGUGAAGAAGUGGAAAAGUU
This 447-nucleotide ribosomal RNA is filed under the name Streptococcus peroris. RNAcentral describes it as "bacterial SSU rRNA". It matches the Rfam family "Bacterial small subunit ribosomal RNA", at positions 38 to 474 of the family's 1533-position model. Lineage: Bacteria; Bacillati; Bacillota; Bacilli; Lactobacillales; Streptococcaceae. The record is from RNAcentral.